GGGGAGAGUAGAAGAGGAGGACAAACCUGUCCCUCGAUUCACUGGCCUGCUGACACAGAAACACCCGGAAAUGAGAAAAUGUCCCUCUGAGUCUGACACAACAUCACAUUAAACUAGGAGAUGAACAUGGUUUAAGGAGAGUGUUGUUGGCUGCAGAGCUCAAAAUAGCAACCGACACUUUAAAUCCAGCUGUGGGAAACCAAGAAAAGUGUGAAAUUAUUAUAAUUGAACAGAAAAUAUUGCAAGAGGUCAGAGUGGCUGCACCUGCAACAAAAGUGUGAAAGAGAGACAGACUAGCUUUUCCCAGUGGCUUCAAGAUAAGCAGCGAAGAACCAGGUGUACAAGGAGCAAUGUUAUGGGAGGGAAUUGAAACUUUUAAGUGGGCUCCAAGCUGAUCGCUCUUUGUGAGAAUGUCAUUGCAUUUCAACUCUUAAAUUCUAUGACCUUGCU
Molecule: non-coding RNA, 450 nt
Organism: Anolis sagrei ordinatus
Lineage: Eukaryota; Metazoa; Chordata; Lepidosauria; Squamata; Anolidae
Source: RefSeq, a predicted model, not a curated record